GAUCAUUCAAGAUUCAAGAAUCAAAAUAAAGAAUCAAGAUGUCCAUCAAUUCGAACGAUGGCAUGGUGUAAUGUUUAUCGUGAUUCGUGAAUAUCGUCACUAUGCUGUCGUGAUCCUGGAAAAGAAAUGAAAGAACUAUGAGAAAAAUUAGUGGUCGCAAGGAAUUAGCCUGUUUUGGUCUGAUCUGAUGAAGUUGGGUGGUAAAAUAUGUUGCUGUUAUACCAUUAUGGGUAAAGAGAGUAAUAUGUUCUCUGUGGAAUGCCUGAAUAUUUUCGACCGGGUUUGCCAAGAAAUUGUUCGAUAAUAUGUAAGAACGGGAAAGUCAGGAACUGAAGGAUCAAGCCCACGAUUUUCCCUCUACCUCGCUCUGCUAUGCUGACUCAUGGCGCCAAAUGUUAUUGGUCAUCACAAACUAGUGACUCGUACUCUUGCUAUAAUGGCCUAAUGUCAGGCUGACUUUUCAGCAAAGAGCGGCAAAAAGAAACUAGAAUCCAAUAUCAGCUGUGAUGUGUAAGUUGAACAGCAUUUCAAGCAAUUAUCAUCUGUUUUACUCAUUGUAUGCAAUUUUUCAUC
Daphnia pulicaria is the source of this 573-nucleotide long non-coding RNA. RefSeq lists it as uncharacterized. Lineage: Eukaryota; Metazoa; Arthropoda; Branchiopoda; Diplostraca; Daphniidae. The transcript has 4 exons. The record is from RefSeq and is a predicted model, not a curated record.